GGCUGUUGAAUGUUGAAAGCAACUUAUUUGGUUACUGGAUAAAGCUGUCUGAACUUUGGAAAUAAUGAGUAGUUACAGAUAAGAUGGAUUCUCCUAUCAAUUUAAUUGAAAAAAAUUGCAAUGAAACCACAAGGAGUCACAAGCAGCUGGGCCAACAAGGUUGCAAGAUACUCCGGUACUUCAGCAGCAUUUCCCACAAGCAUGAGGAUGUGGGCGUCAUUGGCUAGACCAACAUGUAUUGCACACCCCUAAUUGCCCAGAGACAACCCACUAAGACCAGAACUCCCUUCCGAACAGCUCACUGUGUGGAUCUAAACCUGAUGAAUUCUACUGGCUUAAAAUGGUCGCAGCCCAUCAUCACCUUACGAAGGGUAGCUAGAAAUAUGUCAUAAACAAUGGCCGUGCUAACAAUACUCAUAUGGUUAUCCUGAACUAACAAGAAAAAUGGACUUCCAGUUUGGUCUGGCCUUGACUUCUGGGUUCUUAGCGAAGAAAGAGGACUGCUUUCAAUUUACCUUCACUGCAGUUU
Molecule: long non-coding RNA, 529 nt
Organism: Stegostoma tigrinum
Lineage: Eukaryota; Metazoa; Chordata; Chondrichthyes; Orectolobiformes; Stegostomatidae
Exons: 4
Source: RefSeq, a predicted model, not a curated record